This 421-nucleotide ribosomal RNA is filed under the name uncultured bacterium. RNAcentral's name for it is "bacterial SSU rRNA". It matches the Rfam family "Bacterial small subunit ribosomal RNA", at positions 355 to 775 of the family's 1533-position model. The record is from RNAcentral.
UCGAGAAUCUUCGGCAAUGGGCGAAAGCCUGACCGAGCGAUGCCGCGUGCGGGAUGAAGGCCCUCGGGUUGUAAACCGCUGUCGUAGGGGAGGAAGGUUCCGUGAAGAGCGGAACUUGACCUAGCCUAGGAGGAAGUACGGGCUAAGUUCGUGCCAGCAGCCGCGGUAACACGAACCGUACGAACGUUAUUCGGAAUUACUGGGCUUAAAGGGUUUGUAGGCGGCCUUAUAAGUCAGGUGUGAAAGCCCUCGGCUCAACCGAGGAAUAGCGCUUGAUACUGUAAGGCUUGAGGGAGACAGGGGUAAGCGGAACUGAUGGUGGAGCGGUGAAAUGCGUUGAUAUCAUCAGGAACACCGGUGGCGAAAGCGGCUUACUGGGUCUCUUCUGACGCUGAGGAACGAAAGCUAGGGUAGCGAACGG